This 403-nucleotide unclassified non-coding RNA is filed under the name Hevea brasiliensis (rubber tree). The record is from RNAcentral. Lineage: Eukaryota; Viridiplantae; Streptophyta; Magnoliopsida; Malpighiales; Euphorbiaceae.
GUAGUCCUUCAACUUCAGCUUGCACGCUGCAUUGUUCAGAUUACACGAGACCUUCAACACCUUAGCUUGCUUCUUCUCCUCUUCACUGAAGGAGGUAUCAUACUCUAUGAAUUUAACUCCCUUUUCGUAUCUCUUAGAAGCCCGGGCAUAUUUGCCCAAUUUGAACAAUGCGUUGCCCUCUUCCUUCUUUUUACCAGCAGCUUCAAUCUUUUCCUGGUUAUUCAUAUCCCAUGACUCUUUCUCCUUGUCAAAAGCCACAAGCUCAACCUCGUAAUUCACAGUUGAGUUUGGAGGAACUAUAGCCAAAUCCUGUUGUGACUCAGACGAACCAAAAGCAUACUCUGGUGCUAUUGUCAGCAAGGCUAUCUCACCUUUCUUCAUUGUCGCCACAGCUUUGUCGAGG